Molecule: ribosomal RNA, 497 nt
Filed under: uncultured bacterium
Lineage: Bacteria
Description: partial 16S ribosomal RNA
Rfam family: Bacterial small subunit ribosomal RNA
Source: RNAcentral
GACGAACGCUGGCGGCGGGCCUAAUACAUGCAAGUCGAGCGCUAAAGGGUGGUAGUUGUCCGCACCGGAGGAGCAGCGAACGGGUGAGUAAAGCGUGGGGAAACUGGCUUGGAGGGGGGGACAACAUAUGGAAACGAAUGCUAAAACCGCAUAAAAACUGUAAAAACGAGGAGGAAGAUUGAAAGAUGCAAUGGCAUCAGUCAAGGAUGAACGCGCGUUGUAUUGGCUAGGUGGUGAGGUAAAGGCACACCAAGGCGAUGAUACCUAGCCGACGUGAGAGGGUUGUCCGCCCCCUUUGGACUGAGACCCGGCCCCAACCCCUACGGGAGGCCGCCGUAGGGAAUCUUCGGCAAUUGACGGAAGUCUUACCGAGCCCCGCCGCGUGAUUUGAGAAGGGUUUCGGAUCGUAAAACUCUGUUCGUCGAGAAGAACGUUGGUGAGAGUGGAACGCUCAUCCAGUGACGGUACCUACCCAGAAAGCGCCGGCUAACUCCGUG